Molecule: ribosomal RNA, 668 nt
Filed under: Colpodium pisidicum
Lineage: Eukaryota; Viridiplantae; Streptophyta; Magnoliopsida; Poales; Poaceae
Description: eukaryotic LSU rRNA
Rfam family: 5.8S ribosomal RNA (bases 259-414)
Source: RNAcentral
GUUUCCGUAGGUGAACCUUGCGGAAAGGAUCAUUGUCGUGACCCUGACCAAAAGCAGACCGUGCACGCGUCAUCUUUGCCUGCCUGGCGGCAUCGUUCGUCACUUGGCAAAAGUCCUCGACAACCUCUUCUCCUCGGAGUGGGGGCUCGGGGUAAAAGAACCCACGGCGCCGAAGGCGUCAAGGAAGACUGUGCCUAACCCGGGGACGCGGCUGGCUUGCUAGCUGCCCCUCGUGUUGCAAUGCUAUUUAAUCCACACGACUCUCGGCAACGGAUAUCUCGGCUCUCGCAUCGAUGAAGAACGUAGCGAAAUGCGAUACCUGGUGUGAAUUGCAGAAUCCCGCGAACCAUCGAGUCUUUGAACGCAAGUUGCGCCCGAGGCCACCUGGCCGAGGGCACGCCUGCCUGGGCGUCACGCCAAACACGCUCCCUCCCCCUAACCGGAUAGCGGAUGCGGCAUUUGGCCCCUCGUCAUGCAAGUGGCGGUGGGCCGAAGAUGCGGCUGCCGGCGUAUCGUGUCGGACACAGCGCGUGGUGGGCGAUCUCGCUUUACUAACCGCAGUGCAUCCGACUCGUAGCCGACGUCAUGGCCUUGAAGGACCCUAUAAACGGUGCGCGUGACGCUCCGACCGCGACCCCAGGUCAGGCGGGACUACCCGCUGAGUUUAA